Molecule: ribosomal RNA, 119 nt
Filed under: Macleaya cordata
Lineage: Eukaryota; Viridiplantae; Streptophyta; Magnoliopsida; Ranunculales; Papaveraceae
Source: RNAcentral
GGGUGCGAUCAUACCAACACUAAUGCACUGGAUCCCAUCAGAACUUCGCAGUGAAGCGUGCUCGAGCGAGAGUAGUAAUAGGAUGGGUGACCUCCUGGGAAGUCCUCGUGUUGCACCCC